RNAcentral lists this ribosomal RNA (254 nucleotides) under uncultured bacterium. RNAcentral describes it as "partial 16S ribosomal RNA". It matches the Rfam family "Bacterial small subunit ribosomal RNA", at positions 524 to 776 of the family's 1533-position model. The record is from RNAcentral.
UACGGAGGGUGCAAGCGUUAAUCGGAAUUACUGGGCGUAAAGCGCACGCAGGCGGUCUGUCAAGUCGGAUGUGAAAUCCCCGGGCUCAACCUGGGAACUGCAUUCGAAACUGGCAGGCUAGAGUCUUGUAGAGGGGGGUAGAAUUCCAGGUGUAGCGGUGAAAUGCGUAGAGAUCUGGAGGAAUACCGGUGGCGAAGGCGGCCCCCCUGGACAAAGACUGACGCUCAGGUGCGAAAGCGUGGGGAGCAAACAGG